This 497-nucleotide ribosomal RNA is filed under the name uncultured bacterium. RNAcentral's name for it is "partial 16S ribosomal RNA". It matches the Rfam family "Bacterial small subunit ribosomal RNA", at positions 28 to 507 of the family's 1533-position model. The record is from RNAcentral.
GAUGAACGCUGGCGGCGUGCCUAAUACAUGCAAGUCGAGCGAACAGAUGAGGAGCUUGCUCCUCUGACGUUAGCGGCGGACGGGUGAGUAACACGUGAAUAACCUACCUAUAAGACUGGGAUAACUUCGGGAAACCGGAGCUAAUACCGGAUAAUAUAUUGAACCGCAUGGUUCAAUAGUGAAAGACGGUUUUGCUGUCACUUAUAGAUGGAUCCGCGCCGCAUUAGCUAGUUGGUAAGGUAACGGCUUACCAAGGCAACGAUGCGUAGCCGACCUGAGAGGGUGAUCGGCCACACUGGAACUGAGAAACGGUCCAGACUCCUACGGGAGGCAGCAGUAGGGAAUCUUCCGCAAUGGGCGAAAGCCUGACGGAGCAACGCCGCGUGAGUGAUGAAGGUCUUCGGAUCGUAAAACUCUGUUAUUAGGGAAGAACAAAUGUGUAAGUAACUAUGCACGUCUUGACGGUACCUAAUCAGAAAGCCACGGCUAACUACGUG